Molecule: unclassified non-coding RNA, 310 nt
Filed under: plant metagenome
Description: partial contains 5.8S ribosomal RNA, internal transcribed spacer 2, and large subunit ribosomal RNA
Rfam family: 5.8S ribosomal RNA (bases 1-105)
Source: RNAcentral
GAAAUGCGAUAAGUAGUGUGAAUUGCAGAAUUCAGUGACUCAUCGAAUCUUUGAACGCACAUUGCGCCCCUUGGUAUUCCAUGGGGCAUGCCUGUUCGAGCGUCAUUUGUACCCUCAAGCUCUGCUUGGUGUUGGGUGUUUGUCCCCGUCUCCGCGCGUGGACUCGCCCCAAAGUGAUUGGCAGCCGGCGUACUGGUCCCGGAGCGCAGCACAUGUCGCGCAAACGAGUGCCUUGGUACGGCGGCGUCCAUAAGCCCCUCUCUCACGCUCUUGACCUCGGAUCAGGUAGGGAUACCCGCUGAACUUAAGC